Molecule: small nuclear RNA, 107 nt
Filed under: Propithecus coquereli (Coquerel's sifaka)
Lineage: Eukaryota; Metazoa; Chordata; Mammalia; Primates; Indriidae
Source: RNAcentral
GUGCUCGCUUUGGUAGCACAUAUACUAAAAUUGGAACGAUACAGAGAAGAUUGGCAUGGCCCCUGCGCAAGGAUGACACAGAAUGAAGGGAUGCUACCCACAUGACC